GUCUGUGAAAUUCCGGGGNUUAACUUCGGGGUGGCAGGCGAUACGGGCAUAACUAGAGUGCUGUAGGGGAGACUGGAAUUCCUGGUGUAGCGGUGGAAUGCGCAGAUAUCAGGAGGAACACCGAUGGCGAAGGCAGGUCUCUGGGCAGUAACUGACGCUGAGGAGCGAAAGCAUGGGGAGCGAACAGGAUUAGAUACCCUGGUAGUCCAUGCUGUAAACGGUGGGCGUUAGGUGUGGGGACCGGUUUGGUUUCUGUGCCGUAGCUAACGCAUUAAGCGCCCCGCCUGGGGAGUACGGCCGCAAGGCUAAAACUCAAAGGAAUUGACGGGGGCCCGCACAAGCGGCGGAGCAUGUGGAUUAAUUCGAUGCAACGCGAAGAACCUUACCUGGGUUUGACAUGCACCAGACGGUUGUAGAGAUACGUACCUCCCUUUGUGGUUGGUGUGCAGGUGGUGCAUGGUUGUCGUCAGCUCGUGUCGUGAGAUGUUGGGUUAAGUCCCGCAACGAGCGCAACCCUUGUCUUAUGUUGCCAGCACGUUUAGGGUGGGGACUCAUGAGAGACUGCCGGGGCUAACUCGGAGGAAGGUGGGGAUGACGUCAAAUCAUCAUGCCCUUUAUGCCCAGGGCUUCACACAUGCUACAAUGGUUAGUACAACGCGCUGCGAACCUGUGAGGGUGAGCGAAUCGCUGAAAGCUAAUCUCAGUUCGGAUUGGGGUCUGCAACUCGACCCCAUGAAGUCGGAGUCGCUAGUAAUCGCAGAUCAGCAAUGCUGCGGUGAAUACGUUCCCGGGCCUUGUACACACCGCCCGUCACGUCAUGAAAGUUGGUAACACCCGAAGCCCAUGGCCUAACCACCGUUUGGUGG
This 866-nucleotide ribosomal RNA is filed under the name uncultured bacterium. RNAcentral describes it as "bacterial SSU rRNA". It matches the Rfam family "Bacterial small subunit ribosomal RNA", at positions 590 to 1449 of the family's 1533-position model. The record is from RNAcentral.